UUAAAGCAAGCUGUCACUGCUUUUUUGGGCCAUCCUUCCAGCUAAAGAGCCAAAGGAGUAAGAAGUAAGUUAACAAGCCAAUGCAGACAGUAAUAUAUUUGUUUUUGCACCAGCCUUUGUAUUUGGUGAAUCAUGGGAGAAAACUAGGUGUUGCAAAUAUGUUAAAUGCCGCCAUCAGCCAAAAUCAUUCAACCUGUACUGUAUUAUUGAUCUUGAACCAAUAGCAAAGCAGGGUUUGUUUUGGGGAGGAGCUGUGCUGGCCCUGUUGAAUGGAUGUUGGUGUGGAAAUAAUACUCAUACCAAAAUGCUGCUCUUCUCCACUGUACCUGUUGUGGUUUGACAAAGGACCGCCGCUCCAGCAUCACGACUUCUCAGUGUGACCAAUCAGAAAGGGUACACAUCUCCCGUGCAUACAGUAAGCGUGGCUUCAAGGGUCGAGGAAAAAGUGAUGGCGACAAAGCGCCGCCCUCCCAG
This is a long non-coding RNA of Perca fluviatilis (European perch), 474 nucleotides long. RefSeq lists it as uncharacterized. The transcript is spliced from 3 exons. The record is from RefSeq and is a predicted model, not a curated record. Lineage: Eukaryota; Metazoa; Chordata; Actinopteri; Perciformes; Percidae.